AUACGGGGGGUGCAAGCGUUGUUCGGAUUUACUGGGCGUAAAGCGCGUGCAGGCGGGUCGGCAAGUCCUGUGUGUAAUCUCCCGGCUUAACCGGGAAACUGCAUGGGAAACUAUCGAUCUUGCGUGCGAGAGAGGAUGGCGGAAUUCCUGGUGUAGCGGUGAAAUGCGUAGAUAUCAGGAGGAACACCGGUGGCGAAGGCGGCCAUCUGGAUCGACACUGACGCUGAGACGCGAAGGCCGGGGGAGCAAACAGGAUUAGAAACCCCGGUAGUCC
RNAcentral lists this ribosomal RNA (274 nucleotides) under uncultured bacterium. RNAcentral describes it as "partial 16S ribosomal RNA". It matches the Rfam family "Bacterial small subunit ribosomal RNA", at positions 523 to 796 of the family's 1533-position model. The record is from RNAcentral.